This 573-nucleotide ribosomal RNA is filed under the name uncultured bacterium. Its description in RNAcentral is "partial 16S ribosomal RNA". It matches the Rfam family "Bacterial small subunit ribosomal RNA", at positions 355 to 1375 of the family's 1533-position model. The record is from RNAcentral.
UGGGGAAUAUUGCGCAAUGGGGGAACCCUGACGCAGCGACGCCGCGUGAGUGAAGAAGGCUUUCGGGUCGUAAAAGCUCUUAUCUGCGGGAAGAAGAGACGGUACCGCAGGAGAAAGCCCCGGCUAACUACGUGCCAGCAGCCGCGGUAAUACGUAGGGGGCAAGGCGUUGUCCGGAGUAACUGGGCGUAAAGGGCGCGUAGGCGGAAAUAAUAAGUCAGUUGUGAAAGAUAUGGGCUCAACUCAUAGAACGCAUCUGAAACUGUUAAAUCUGGAGUAUAGGAGAGGGAAACGGAAUUCCUGGUGUAGCGGUGAAAAUGCGUAGAGAUCAGGAAGAACAUCAGUGGCGAAGGCGGUUUCCUGGCCUAAAAACUGACGCUGAAAGCGCGAAAAGCAUGGGUAGCGAACAGGAUUAGAUACCCUGGUAGUCCAUGCCGUAAAACGAUGGAUACUAGGUGUGGGUAUCGCAAGAUAUCCGUGCCGCAGUUAAACGCAAAUAAGUAUCCCGCCUGGGGAGUACGGCCGCAAAGGUUGAAAACUCAAAAUGAAUUGACGGGGUCAUAGCUGUUUUCCU